AGGGAAUCUUCGGCAAUGGACGGAAGUCUGACCGAGCAACGCCGCGUGAGUGAAGAAGGUUUUCGGAUCGUAAAGCUCUGUUGUAAGAGAAGAACGAGUGUGAGAGUGGAAAGUUCACACUGUGACGGUAUCUUACCAGAAAGGGACGGCUAACUACGUGCCAGCAGCCGCGGUAAUACGUAGGUCCCGAGCGUUGUCCGGAUUUAUUGGGCGUAAAGCGAGCGCAGGCGGUUAGAUAAGUCUGAAGUUAAAGGCUGUGGCUUAACCAUAGUACGCUUUGGAAACUGUUUAACUUGAGUGCAAGAGGGGAGAGUGGAAUUCCAUGUGUAGCGGUGAAGUGCGUAGAUAUAUGGAGGAACACCGGUGGCGAAAGCGGCUCUCUGGCUUGUAACUGACGCUGAGGCUCGAAAGCGUGGGGAGCAAACAGGAUUAGAUACCCUGGUAGUCCACGCCGUAAACGAUGAGUGCUAGGUGUUAGACCCUUUCCGGGGUUUAGUGCCGUAGCUAACGCAUUAAGCACUCCGCCUGGGGAGUACGACCGCAAGGUUG
Molecule: ribosomal RNA, 549 nt
Filed under: uncultured bacterium
Lineage: Bacteria
Description: bacterial SSU rRNA
Rfam family: Bacterial small subunit ribosomal RNA
Source: RNAcentral